GCCCUGAUGUCGAAAUGGUAAACGAAGCGGUUUCAGAGACCGUCGCAGCAAUGCUUGAGGGUUCGAGUCCCUCUCAGGGCACCA
RNAcentral lists this transfer RNA (84 nucleotides) under Erysipelotrichaceae bacterium. Its description in RNAcentral is "tRNA-Leu". It matches the Rfam family "tRNA". From Rfam's summary of the family: Transfer RNA (tRNA) molecules are approximately 80 nucleotides in length. Their secondary structure includes four short double-helical elements and three loops (D, anti-codon, and T loops). The record is from RNAcentral. Lineage: Bacteria; Bacillati; Bacillota; Erysipelotrichia; Erysipelotrichales; Erysipelotrichaceae.